UACGGAGGGUGCGAGCGUUGUCCGGAAUCACUGGGCGUAAAGGGCGCGUAGGUGGCGACCCAAGUCGGUGGUGAAAGCUCGCCGCUCAACGGCGAGUCGGCCACCGAUACUGGGUUGCUCGAGCACUGUAGAGGCUAAUGGAAUUCCGGGUGUAGCGGUGGAAUGCGCAGAUAUCGGGAAGAACACCCGUGGCUAAGGCGGCUCUCUAGUACGGUACUGACGCUGAGACGCGAAAGCGUGGGGAGCGAACAGG
Molecule: ribosomal RNA, 253 nt
Filed under: uncultured bacterium
Lineage: Bacteria
Description: partial 16S ribosomal RNA
Rfam family: Bacterial small subunit ribosomal RNA
Source: RNAcentral